GACGAACGCUGGCGGCGUGCCUAAUACAUGCAAGUAGAACGCACAGUUUAUACCGUAGCUUGCUACACCAUAGACUGUGAGUUGCGAACGGGUGAGUAACGCGUAGGUAACCUGCCUGGUAGCGGGGGAUAACUAUUGGAAACGAUAGCUAAUACCGCAUAAUAUUAAUUAUUGCAUGAUAAUUAAUUGAAAGGUGCAAUUGCACCACUACCAGAUGGACCUGCGUUGUAUUAGCUAGUAGGUGAGGUAACGGCUCACCUAGGCGACGAUACAUAGCCGACCUGAGAGGGUGAUCGGCCACACUGGGACUGAGACACGGCCCAGACUCCUACGGGAGGCAGCAGUAGGGAAUCUUCGGCAAUGGACGAAAGUCUGACCGAGCAAUGCCGCGUGAGUGAAGAAGGUUUUCGGAUCGUAAAGCUCUGUUGUAAGAGAAGAACGGGUGUGAGAGUGGAAAGUUCACACUGUGACGGUAUCUUACCAGAAAGGGACGGCUAACUACGUG
This 505-nucleotide ribosomal RNA is filed under the name uncultured bacterium. Its description in RNAcentral is "partial 16S ribosomal RNA". It matches the Rfam family "Bacterial small subunit ribosomal RNA", at positions 28 to 507 of the family's 1533-position model. The record is from RNAcentral.